Molecule: transfer RNA, 75 nt
Filed under: Pelagibacteraceae bacterium BACL5 MAG-120705-bin12
Lineage: Bacteria; Pseudomonadati; Pseudomonadota; Alphaproteobacteria; Candidatus Pelagibacterales; Candidatus Pelagibacteraceae
Also listed under: 9 other names
Description: tRNA-Phe
Rfam family: tRNA
About the family: Transfer RNA (tRNA) molecules are approximately 80 nucleotides in length. Their secondary structure includes four short double-helical elements and three loops (D, anti-codon, and T loops).
Source: RNAcentral
GGCUGAGUAGCUCAGGAGUAGAGCAGAGCCCUGAAAAGGCUUGUGUCGGGAGUGCGAAUCUCUCCUCAGCCACCA